RNAcentral lists this ribosomal RNA (440 nucleotides) under uncultured bacterium. RNAcentral's name for it is "partial 16S ribosomal RNA". It matches the Rfam family "Bacterial small subunit ribosomal RNA", at positions 338 to 795 of the family's 1533-position model. The record is from RNAcentral.
CCUACGGGAGGCAGCAGUAGGGAAUAUUGCGCAAUGGGCGAAACCCUGAAGCAGCAACGCCGCGUGGAGGAUGAAGGUCUUCGGAUCGUAAACUUCUUUUGUCAGAGAAGAUUAUGACCGUAUCUAAUGAAUAAGCACCUGCGAAUUCCGUGCCAGCAGCCGCGGUAAUACGGAGGGUGCAAGCGUUACUUGGAAUCACUGGGCGUAACGAGUGCGUAGGCGGGGUAAUAAGUCAGAUGUGAAAGCCUGUAGCUUAACGACAGAACUGCAUUUGAAACUGGUACUCUGGAGUGUGGGAGAGGUUGGUGGAAUUCUUGGUGUAGGGGUAAAAUCCGUAGAGAUCAAGAGGAAUACUAAUGGCGAAGGCGACCUGCUGGAACAUUACUGACGCUGAUGCACGAAAGCGUGGGGAGCAAACAGGAUUAGAUACCCUAGUAGUC